UCCCUUACAGCUUAGCUGGUAAAGAAUCUGCCUGCAAUGCAGAAGACCUGGGUUUGAUCCCUGGGUUGGGAA
Molecule: transfer RNA, 72 nt
Filed under: Ovis aries (sheep)
Lineage: Eukaryota; Metazoa; Chordata; Mammalia; Artiodactyla; Bovidae
Rfam family: tRNA
About the family: Transfer RNA (tRNA) molecules are approximately 80 nucleotides in length. Their secondary structure includes four short double-helical elements and three loops (D, anti-codon, and T loops).
Source: Rfam by way of RNAcentral